CGGGGCGUAGCGCAGCCUGGUAGCGCACCUGCUUUGGGAGCAGGGGGCCGGAGGUUCAAAUCCUCUCGCCCCGACCA
RNAcentral lists this transfer RNA (77 nucleotides) under Acidobacteriota bacterium. Its description in RNAcentral is "tRNA-Pro". It matches the Rfam family "tRNA". Rfam says of the family: Transfer RNA (tRNA) molecules are approximately 80 nucleotides in length. RNAcentral also lists the same sequence under 2 other names. The record is from RNAcentral. Lineage: Bacteria; Pseudomonadati; Acidobacteriota.